UACGUAGGGUGCAAGCGUUAAUCGGAAUUACUGGGCGUAAAGCGUGCGCAGGCGGUUAUGUAAGUCUGACGUGAAAUCCCCGGGCUCAACCUGGGAAUUGCGUUGGAGACUGCAAGGCUAGAAUCUGGCAGUGGGGGGUAGAAUUCCACGUGUAGCAGUGAUAUGCGUAGAGAUGUGGAGGAACACCGAUGGAGAAGGCAGCCCCCUGGGUCAAGAUUGACGCUCAUGCACGAAGGCGUGGGGAGCAAACAGG
This 253-nucleotide ribosomal RNA is filed under the name uncultured bacterium. RNAcentral's name for it is "partial 16S ribosomal RNA". It matches the Rfam family "Bacterial small subunit ribosomal RNA", at positions 524 to 776 of the family's 1533-position model. The record is from RNAcentral.